Long non-coding RNA from Diceros bicornis minor, 473 nucleotides. RefSeq lists it as uncharacterized. The record is from RefSeq and is a predicted model, not a curated record. Lineage: Eukaryota; Metazoa; Chordata; Mammalia; Perissodactyla; Rhinocerotidae. The transcript is spliced from 4 exons.
AAGGAAAUCUGGUGAACCUCCAGAAAUGGCGUGAGAAAUGCAAAGUCAUCAGGAGGAUCCAGCUGCUCCAGCAGGCUGCAAAUAAGUAUGACCUGGAGCCCGAAGAGCGAUUUGGGGCCUGGUUCCAGGCCAUGGAACCCCUCAGUGUCGAUGAGAGCUACUGCCUCUCCUGUGGGCUGGAGCCCACACACCAUAAGGCGAGCAAAAUGCGGCUCUUCAAGAGAAAGAACUGGCCAUCCUCCAGUUAAGGGCCUAUCUGUUUCUUCUCUUCAGCCACCGUGCCCUUGGCAAAGAGCCAUAACACUCCGGAGACCACAAGUUCAGCUCCUCCUGAGCAGCGGGGACACUGACGCCCUCGGGGUGCACCGGGCCAGCUCUUCCCACCUGAGUGAAGGAAGACAUCCUAAGACUUUCCCUGGUUUCCCCUAAAGCCCCAGAGGGAGGGCCCCACCCCUUCCAACUCCCUGACAUCU